This 372-nucleotide ribosomal RNA is filed under the name uncultured organism. RNAcentral describes it as "partial 16S ribosomal RNA". It matches the Rfam family "Bacterial small subunit ribosomal RNA", at positions 527 to 896 of the family's 1533-position model. The record is from RNAcentral.
GUAGGUGGCAAGCGUUGUCCGGAAUUAUUGGGCGUAAAGCGCGCGCAGGCGGUUCUUUAAGUCUGAUGUGAAAGCCCGCGGCUCAACCGUGGAGGGUCAUUGGAAACUGGAGAAAUUGAGUACAGAAGAGGAAAGCGGAAUUCCACGUGUAGCGGUGAAAUGCGUAGAGAUGUGGAGGAACACCAGUGGCGAAGGCGGCUUUCUGGUCUGUAACUGACGCUGAGGCGCGAAAGCGUGGGGAGCAAACAGGGAUUAGAUACCCUGGUAGUCCACGCCGUAAACGAUGAGUGCUAAGUGUUAGGGGGUUUCCGCCCCCUUAGUGCUGCAGCUAACGCAUUAAGCACUCCGCCUGGGGAUACGGCCGCAAGGCUG